GCCAGCAUGGCAUACUGGUUUGAGUGUCGAACUAUGACUCUGGAGACCAGGGUUGGAUUCCCUGCUCAGCCA
Phrynosoma platyrhinos (Desert horned lizard) is the source of this 72-nucleotide non-coding RNA. The record is from the annotation of a GenBank genome assembly. NCBI's taxonomy places the organism in Eukaryota, Metazoa, Chordata, Lepidosauria, Squamata, Phrynosomatidae.